CUAUUUCUCGGAGUAUCCGGAACACUUGUGAAUGUAGUCGCUUUAUCUUUGACUAUCUUCAUAAGGUGGUUCUUCAAAGCAGGGACAACCAGUGCUUCCCCUCGGAAAAUAAUAUCAUUCAUUUUCUUCCAAAUCAAAUAACAAAGGCCACCGAAAGAGAACCGCGCAAUCCGAUGGUAGAAAUCCUUACCGGAGAGCAACCUGAUCGCCCAAGCAAGGUUGUCCAUCCACGGCCUCGAUUUCCAAGGUAAAUUGCAUCUCGUCGUCCAAAAAUAAGCAAGCGUGGCCGAGAUACGACAGUUGAAGAACAAGUGAUCAAUAGAGUCCGAAGUAGCAUUACAGUAUGCACAAGUACCCGAGACGAUUCUACCAGAAUGGAUUAGGAAUUCAUGGGUGGGUAAUCUGUUCUUGGUAAUCAACUACAAGUUAAAUUGAUUUCUAGGGACAAUAUCAGAGUUCCAAAUAAAGGAGUCCCAAGAAACUCUUUCCUUCUUUGUUCUAAUGAAAUCCCAUGCAGAGGCAACAGAAAAGGAUCAGGAUGAGUGCUGAUUCCAGGUGAAACAAUCCGGUGCAUUAGUCUGAUCCGGGACAGAGAAACCACAGCUCUCAAGUGAACUCUUAAAUGCAUGACCGAGGGGGGAGAAUAAAUCUGCAACAACAGCAUGCUUAAGGAGACCCGACAAUUCAAUGAUGGAUGUCGGAAACAAAAGAUCAAGGGGGCCAUUAGCGAGCCAUUGAUCAUGCCAUAAAGAAACCGAAAAUCCAUUACCAAUCUUCCAAGCGAAGCAAGACCUAAACUCUGUUCUUAAUUGCAAUAUUUUUUUUCCAGCCCCAAGAACACGUAGAAGGUGUU
RNAcentral lists this long non-coding RNA (853 nucleotides) under Eucalyptus grandis. RNAcentral's name for it is "long non-coding RNA (EGRA_LNC004318)". The record is from RNAcentral. Lineage: Eukaryota; Viridiplantae; Streptophyta; Magnoliopsida; Myrtales; Myrtaceae.